Long non-coding RNA from Anoplophora glabripennis (Asian longhorned beetle), 392 nucleotides. RefSeq lists it as uncharacterized. The transcript is spliced from 3 exons. NCBI's taxonomy places the organism in Eukaryota, Metazoa, Arthropoda, Insecta, Coleoptera, Cerambycidae. The record is from RefSeq and is a predicted model, not a curated record.
AGGAGAACUGCUUCAUCAAUCAACAGGUGACCGUGGGUCAAAUCGAGAACGGCUAGAAAAUGGCGAGCUAUCGGACCCAAUGUAAACAAUCAAAAUUGUUCAAAAUUUAUGGAUAACGUUCCAGCGAUACACAGACGUGUGGAAGUGACUGAAAUAGGUCUCCCUGGUUAUCACCGAAGACACUGUAGAUGCCCCCAUGAGUAGUAAAUACCAGCACCAUGUUUCUCAAAGCCCCAUUUGCAAUUUCAAUGCUAAUAAAAUUUUGCAACAAGUUACGAUUUGAAGAUAACUGCAUUUCAGAAACGGCACUAUUUGUUGGAAUAUACAGGAGCUUCCGUGAUUAUAUAUGUAUGUUAUACGUUGUAUUUUCACUAAAUAAAACUUGAUAAAUA